AACCAGUUCGGCGUCCGGGUCGGUUUCUCCUCAUCUCCUUGAGCCUUGAGCAGGAGGCUGGUAGCUCCUCGCCAGCCACCGCCGCCGCAGCGGCCAGACAGCCCGCCAGCAGCGGCAGCUGGAGGCUCUCCGAAUCCACAAACCUUCCUGGCCUUGUCUCACCGCCAGAGGAGUCUCCUCUUUCCUAUCAAGUCUCUGGCUCCUUCGCUUCCCACACUCGCCUGGCCUCUGUCCUGCGAUGGUUUGGGGCUUACUGCUGGGGGAGCGACAGGAAUUUCGGCCCCAGGCGCCUAGUCAAAUUACUGGGUUUUUAUUUCUUCUUCUUGUUGUUAUUAUUAUUAUUAUUAUUACCAUCAUCAUCGUUAUUGCUGUAACAAUCAUCUAGACUAAAUAAAGCCAGGGCCCAGCCAGCUACCCCCCU
Molecule: long non-coding RNA, 421 nt
Filed under: Rattus norvegicus (Norway rat)
Lineage: Eukaryota; Metazoa; Chordata; Mammalia; Rodentia; Muridae
Description: long non-coding RNA NONRATT004807
Source: RNAcentral